RNAcentral lists this ribosomal RNA (467 nucleotides) under uncultured bacterium. RNAcentral describes it as "partial 16S ribosomal RNA". It matches the Rfam family "Bacterial small subunit ribosomal RNA", at positions 28 to 506 of the family's 1533-position model. The record is from RNAcentral.
GACGAACGCUGGCGGCGUGCUUAACACAUGCAAGUCGAACGGAAAGGCCCUGCUUUUGUGGGGUGCUCGAGUGGCGAACGGGUGAGUAACACGUGAGUAACCUGCCCUUGACUUUGGGAUAACUUCAGGAAACUGGGGCUAAUACCGGAUAGGAGCUCCUGCUGCAUGGUGGGGGUUGGAAAGUUUCGGCGGUUGGGGAUGGACUCGCGGCUUAUCAGCUUGUUGGUGGGGUAGUGGCUUACCAAGGCUUUGACGGGUAGCCGGCCUGAGAGGGUGACCGGCCACAUUGGGACUGAGAUACGGCCCAGACUCCUACGGGAGGCAGCAGUGGGGAAUAUUGCACAAUGGGCGGAAGCCUGAUGCAGCAACGCCGCGUGCGGGAUGACGGCCUUCGGGUUGUAAACCGCUUUCGCCUGUGACGAAGCGUGAGUGACGGUAAUGGGGAAAGUAGCACCGGCGAACUACGU